This 484-nucleotide ribosomal RNA is filed under the name uncultured bacterium. RNAcentral's name for it is "partial 16S ribosomal RNA". It matches the Rfam family "Bacterial small subunit ribosomal RNA", at positions 30 to 507 of the family's 1533-position model. The record is from RNAcentral.
AUUGAACGCUGGCGGCAGGCCUAACACAUGCGAGUCGAGCGGAUGAAGGGAGCUUGCUCCUGGAUUCAGCGGCGGACGGGCGAGUAAUGCCUAGGAAUCUGCCUGGUAGUGGGGGAUAACGUCCGGAAACGGGCGCUAAUACCGCAUACGUCCUGAGGGAGAAAGUGGGGGAUCUUCGGACCUCACGCUAUCAGAUGAGCCUAGGUCGGAUUAGCUAGUUGGUGGGGUAAAGGCCUACCAAGGCGACGAUCCGUAACUGGUCUGAGAGGAUGAUCAGUCACACUGGAACUGAGACACGGUCCAGACUCCUACGGGAGGCAGCAGUGGGGAAUAUUGGACAAUGGGCGAAAGCCUGAUCCAGCCAUGCCGCGUGUGUGAAGAAGGUCUUCGGAUUGUAAAGCACUUUAAGUUGGGAGGAAGGGCAGUAAGUUAAUACCUUGCUGUUUUGACGUUACCAACAGAAUAAGCACCGGCUAACUUCGUG